UACGUAGGGGGCGAGCGUUGUCCGGAGUUACUGGGCGUAAAGCGCCCGCAGGCGGUCCUGUGCGUGGUUGGUGACAGUCCUCGGCUUAACUGAGGAAGCGCUGGCCAAACGGCAGGACUUGAGGACCAGAGAGGGAGACGGAACUCCGGGUGGAGCGGUGAAAUGCGUAGAGAUCCGGAAGAACACCAAAGGCGUAGGCAGUCUCCUGGCUGGUUUCUGACGCUCAGGGGCGAAAGCUAGGGGAGCAAACAGG
Molecule: ribosomal RNA, 253 nt
Filed under: uncultured bacterium
Lineage: Bacteria
Description: partial 16S ribosomal RNA
Rfam family: Bacterial small subunit ribosomal RNA
Source: RNAcentral